This 780-nucleotide ribosomal RNA is filed under the name uncultured bacterium. Its description in RNAcentral is "bacterial SSU rRNA". It matches the Rfam family "Bacterial small subunit ribosomal RNA", at positions 55 to 829 of the family's 1533-position model. The record is from RNAcentral.
AUGCAAGUCGAGGGGCAGCGAGAUGUAGCAAUACAUUGUCGGCGACCGGCGCACGGGUGCGUAACGCGUAUGCAACCUACCAUAUACAGGAGGAUAACCAUUCGAAAGAAUGACUAAUACUCCAUAGUAUUAUAGAGAGGCAUCUUUUUAUAAUUAAAGAAUUUCGGUAUAUGCUGGGCAUGCGUGACAUUAGCUAGUUGGAGAGGUAACGGCUCACCAAGGCUACGAUGUCUAGGGGUUUUGAGAGGAAGAUCCCCCACACUGGUACUGAGACACGGACCAGACUCCUACGGGAGGCAGCAGUGAGGAAUAUUGGUCAAUGGACGGAAGUCUGAACCAGCCAUGCCGCGUGAAGGAAGACUGCCCUAUGGGUUGUAAACUUCUUUUAUACGGGGAUAAACCUAUCUUUGCGAAGAUAGCUGAAGGUACCGUAUGAAUAAGCAUCGGCUAACUCCGUGCCAGCAGCCGCGGUAAUACGGAGGAUGCGAGCGUUAUCCGGAUUUAUUGGGUUUAAAGGGUGCGUAGGCGGACAAAUAAGUCAGUGGUGAAAUCACUCAGCUUAACUGAGUAACUGCCAUUGAUACUGUUAGUCUAGAAUGUAAAUGGAGUAGGCGGAAUGAAUCAUGUAGAGGUGACAUUCAUAGAUAUGAUUCAGAACACCGAUCGCGAAGGCAGCUUGCUAAGAUACAAUUGACGCUGAUGCACGAAAGCGUGGGUAGCAAACAGGAUUAGAUACCCUGGUAGUCCACGCUGUAAACGAUGAUAACUCGUUGUCGGCGA